CAACCAAAGAUCUGUAGAAUUGGAAACAUCAGAACCCCCCUUUCUCUGACGAUCCCCAGAGCCGUAUCUCCCUUAUCCCUUCUGUCUUCAGCAGUCAUCAGCCAACCUGGGAAGACUGCCAACAGCUCUUAUGGGUUCUCUUCACUUCAGAGGAGAGAAACUGCAUCCUGGGAGAGGCACUGCGCCACAUCCUGGCCGAGAUGGCCUCCCUACAGCAGAUCAGGAUGAAAUCGAGACCUGCUGGGAUCCCUUCUACCCCUCCAGCAGUCUCUGCAGUUCUUCAAUUUGUGCUUCCGGAUCUCCACCAAACGGUUCGCACCGCUAAGAGACCUGAACCUACAGGCCGGCACUCUGACAGACUUGAACCCGGAGACUGGAUGUGGGUCAAGAAACACACUGAUUGCAGUCUCAAGGAAAAGUGGACCAGACCAUACCAGGGCAAAGUCAAAAUCGCUGUUUCUAUCGAAGAUGAAGCCAGCAAAGACCUGCCUCCGGCCACCCUGCUCUUUAGGCCAGUUCGUCGGUGUGUUUACGGAGCCCUGUUUAGUCCGGCAGAAAACAGAAAGGAAACGGAGAGACUUGCUUUCAGAAAGAACAGACUUCCACCGGAAUGUAUGCACGGUAACGGUCCGUUGUUUGUUUACCUCAGUACCUCGUCAUCUCCUGUGCAUUUUCUAAAGCCUUAGGAGAAUCGUGACUGAGUUGCCUGAGACCCUCCUUGUCAGAAGGUGGGCUGUCCUUGGGUCAGUAGGCCAGGAUAGAGCCCUCAGGACAGGAAGAGAAAGCAGACAUUCUUCCUCAGUACCGGUCCAGUAAUGGUGUUUGUCCAGUAAAAUAAUUAAACAGCAGGUUUCCUUGUUAAAGUCAGUGCUGAUCUAGAAGCAGUUUUGAAUGCCUGUCAUUCUCUGUAAUGACCCUGUCUUAGUACCCAAGAUACAUGUGUGUCUGCCCCAAGCUCAUGAGGCACAGCUCUGUGCUCUCCAGUAGCCCAGAGUUCUGGAGAGCGGGUCCUACGAGGCUCUCAACCAUAGUGGGGUCACCUCAGGACUGCCAUGGUUUAGCUCAUAGUCCACAGUGCGCGCACCUCAGCUCAUGACUUGGGGGAGGUUGGAAAGGCUGGGAAGAACUGUUUGGAAUGCUGGUCAGAGCCGAGUCCACGGUGUUUGUCCUCCAUGAGGCCUGUGUCCUAUUUUGGGAGAACGAUGCUGUUCCUCUUGUCAGUUAUGUCUGCCAAUGUACGAACACAGAAGCCACUGUGCGUUUGUUGGGGGAUACAGAAAAGAUCCUAAAACAUACAGUCUAAGUCAGAACAUUGUGACCCAUUCUUUAAAGCAAGAACCUUUGGUUGUGACUCUGGCUGUGGUGGGGCAAAUGUUGGCAU
Nannospalax galili (Upper Galilee mountains blind mole rat) is the source of this 1381-nucleotide long non-coding RNA. RefSeq lists it as uncharacterized. The record is from RefSeq and is a predicted model, not a curated record. Lineage: Eukaryota; Metazoa; Chordata; Mammalia; Rodentia; Spalacidae. The transcript has 3 exons.